AACGUAGGAGACAAACGUUAUCCGGAGUUACUGGGCGUAAAGGGCGUGUAGGUGGUUUCGUAAGUCUGGCGUGAAAUUUCUCGGCUUAACCGAGGCAGGUCGUCGGAUACUAUGAGACUAGAGGACGGUAGAGGCGUGUGGAAUUCCGGGUGUAGUGGUGAAAUGCGUAGAGAUCCGGAGGAACACCAGUGGUGAAAACAGACUGCUGGGGG
RNAcentral lists this ribosomal RNA (212 nucleotides) under uncultured prokaryote. RNAcentral describes it as "partial 16S ribosomal RNA". It matches the Rfam family "Bacterial small subunit ribosomal RNA", at positions 524 to 735 of the family's 1533-position model. The record is from RNAcentral.